Ictalurus punctatus (channel catfish) is the source of this 581-nucleotide long non-coding RNA. NCBI's taxonomy places the organism in Eukaryota, Metazoa, Chordata, Actinopteri, Siluriformes, Ictaluridae. The record is from Ensembl.
CUGGGUUUGAUUUUACAGAAAUAAAUAAAUGCCGUGUUGAAUUACAUGUUGGAUGUUAUAAUGGCGAGUCCUCCGCCACGCUGUUGGGAGAGAUCGAGAGACUGAGAAUGAGGCGGAGAACUUUAGAAUGGGAUGGAGAACGGGGCGGAGCACUAGAGAAUGAGCUGGAGAACGGUAGCGCGAGACGGAGAGCUGGAGAAUGAGACUGAGAACGGGACGGAGAAGUAGAGAAUGAGACUGAGAACGAGACGGAGAACGGGACGGAUGAAUAGAGAAUGAGACUGAGAACGAGACGGAGAACGAACGGAGAAGUAGAGAAUGAGACUGAGAACGGAGAACGGAGAAGUAGAGAAUGAGACUGAGAAGAGACGGAGAAGUAGAGAACGAGACGGAGAACGGGACGGAGAAGUAGAGAAUGAGACUGAGAACGGAGAACGGACGGAAGUAGAGAAUGAGACUGAGAACGAGACGGAGAACGAGACGGAGAAGUAGAGAAUGAGACUGAGAACGAGACGGAGAAGUAGAGAAUGAGACGGAGAACGGGAGAACGAGACGGAGACAGGAUGGUCAGACGGACAGAC